This 30-nucleotide non-coding RNA is filed under the name Rattus norvegicus (Norway rat). Lineage: Eukaryota; Metazoa; Chordata; Mammalia; Rodentia; Muridae. The record is from RNAcentral.
AGGAAUAUAAACACCCAUGGACACAUAUUU